GACGGAGGAUGCGAGCGUUAUCCGGAUUUACUGGGCGUAAAGCGUGUGCAGGCGGGCCGUCAAGUGGUGUAUGAAAGCACUGGGCUUAACCCAGUGAUUGUAGGCCAGACUGACGGUCUGGAGGGCGAGAGAGGGGCGUGGAAUUCCGGGUGUAGUGGUGAAAUGCGUAGAGAUCCGGAGGAACCCCAGAGGCGAAGGCGGCGCCCUGGCUCGCACCUGACGCUCAGACACGACAGCAUGGGGAGCGAACGGG
Molecule: ribosomal RNA, 253 nt
Filed under: uncultured bacterium
Lineage: Bacteria
Description: partial 16S ribosomal RNA
Rfam family: Bacterial small subunit ribosomal RNA
Source: RNAcentral